This 274-nucleotide ribosomal RNA is filed under the name uncultured bacterium. RNAcentral's name for it is "partial 16S ribosomal RNA". It matches the Rfam family "Bacterial small subunit ribosomal RNA", at positions 81 to 353 of the family's 1533-position model. The record is from RNAcentral.
AAGUUUGAUGGCGACCGGCGCACGGGUGAGUAACACGUAUCCAACCUGCCGAUGACUCGGGGGAUAGCCUUUCGAAAGAAAGAUUAAUACCCGAUGGCAUAGUUCUUCCGCAUGGUAGAACUAUUAAAGGAUUUCGGUCAUCGAUGGGGAUGCGUUCCAUUAGGUUGUUGGCGGGGUAACGGCCCACCAAGCCUUCGAUGGAUAGGGGUUCUGAGAGGAAGGUCCCCCACAUUGGAACUGAGACACGGUCCAAACUCCUACGGGAGGCAGCAUG